This 181-nucleotide small RNA is filed under the name Arabidopsis thaliana (thale cress). RNAcentral's name for it is "ATSL153440". The record is from RNAcentral. Lineage: Eukaryota; Viridiplantae; Streptophyta; Magnoliopsida; Brassicales; Brassicaceae.
UUCAAUAAACUAGACUUGGGGAAAAUAAAAUCUUAUAAGAAAAGCGAACAAAACAGAAACAAACGAGAAAAAAAAAAACUCUGGAAUGGCUCGUUUGAAACCUAAUUUAUUUUCGGAUGACAAAAAAAAAGACGAAAAAGGGUCAUGGAUUUGUUGGUUAAUGGUAGUGAUUGGUUUAGAU